This 799-nucleotide long non-coding RNA is filed under the name Cicer arietinum (chickpea). RNAcentral's name for it is "long non-coding RNA (CARI_LNC001542)". The record is from RNAcentral. Lineage: Eukaryota; Viridiplantae; Streptophyta; Magnoliopsida; Fabales; Fabaceae.
CGACUACGGUGAAGUUGUUGGAAUUCCGGCGCCGAGCAGAGAGCAGCAUGAAGCAUGAGCAAUGAGUAGUCUUAAUUUGAAGGUUAGUUAUUAUAAUUGAAGGGUAUAGAGAGAGCAAAUUAAACCUUACAGAAAGCAUUAGGAGCAAAAGAAGCAUCGAGAAAAUCUUCAAAACAGUAACCAGGUAUUGUUUCUAUCAAAUACUCUGAAAUGCUGCUUGUUGAUACUGAACCACUCUCACUACCCAUGUUCUCUUCAACCUUGUUACCAUAACUACUCCCAUUUUCAUUCGAAACCGAUCUCUCUAUUAUAUUUGUUGAUGAUGAUGAUUCUGGAUCCAAAGAAUUGCUUGAAAGCUUCACGCCACUUAGAAGAAACCUGUUAUGUUUCUCUGUAUGUUCAUUUGCUCUGUGAAUUGAAAGGUCACAUUCUCUGCAAACUAUCGCUCUGUCUUCUUGGCAAAAUACAUAUCCACGCUUCUCCUGCAAUAUAACUUCAAAUAUUAUUUUCUUUUCAUUCUAUUAUAUUGUAUGAUAAUCAUCACCAAUGUUUACAUUAUGUUUUUAUGUUGCUGUAAUAGCAACACUACUGUGAUUUUUAUUUUUGUCUGGUAAUUUGAAGUUUGGUCGAGUAUGAAAAGUCUGGUCAAUAAUUAACUGAAAUUUAUUAAUCAUUUUGAUGGAUUUGAUUGCAAUUGUAUGAAAUAGGAAGGAUUGCGAUGAGUGCAGGUGCUAUUUAAAGUUUGAUGGAUUCAUACUUGACAGAUAUCACAAAGAGGGAAUUCUUUGGAGUGAAGGUG